GGAGGUGAGGGCGAUCUGGCUGUGAUUGCCAUGGUUGAUUCAGCUAAUCUGGCUGGCUGGGCGGGCGUCCCCUUGCUCCGUCACCGCUCCAAGUGCAUUGCUCCCAAAGCUGCGUGCUUGUUCAAAGAGGACAACCAUCUGAUCUUUGGUCUUUGGUCUUCAGUCAAGGGUCAAGGGUCAAGGGUACAGGAGUAACCGUGCUCCUCUGCUAGAACUUCCAAACAAGCUCUCAUAAUAUAUUAACAUUUUUUAACCGUGCUUUGAUAAUGGACAUUUGCAUCAGAAGCAUAUUAGCAUAUUAAUAAUAGACUUGGCAGUGAUCAAUUAGAAUAU
Molecule: small nuclear RNA, 333 nt
Filed under: Aotus nancymaae (Ma's night monkey)
Lineage: Eukaryota; Metazoa; Chordata; Mammalia; Primates; Aotidae
Description: 7SK RNA (ENSANAG00000004546.1)
Rfam family: 7SK RNA
About the family: 7SK was discovered as an abundant small nuclear RNA in the mid-70s but a possible function has only recently been suggested. Two independent studies have found that 7SK RNA binds the CDK9/cyclin T complex (known as elongation factor P-TEFb).
Source: RNAcentral